RNAcentral lists this long non-coding RNA (2317 nucleotides) under Mus musculus (house mouse). RNAcentral describes it as "predicted gene, 30211". The record is from RNAcentral. Lineage: Eukaryota; Metazoa; Chordata; Mammalia; Rodentia; Muridae.
UUUCAUGUGAAGUGAAAUGGCUGUAGCCUAAUGUCCUUCUGAAAUCAAGAGACACAUCUUCACUUUCCAGACUGGGACCAGACUUUUGUGCCACGUUGUGACAUGCACACAUGCACACACAGGAAAGGACUUGGCUUGUGCCCACAUGCCUUUCUUCAGGGACAAGUGGGAAUGGACAUAAGGAGCGUCUCAUCCUUACGUGGCCUCCUUUGUCUUCCUCCUUCCUGGCCAAGACGGUGAUUUACUGCCCAAAGACAAGUCCAUCUGAAGCAAGAACUGACUAUCGAGGACUCUGUAGUGACUGAUAAACUGGGAAGAGAAAAUUGGACCAGAGACUUCAAGGCAGCUCUCAGACAAGAAUAUUCCAGUGCCAGAGAGAAAGACAUUAAAAAUGAAGAGACAUGCAGAGAGUGCACCAUGCCAUCGUGGAGACAGACUGAAGUGACACAACUGUUAGUCAAAGAGGAUUAAGGACUUCCAGAAGCCACCAAAGGAAGGAGAUGGCUGUCUUCAUAUUUGUUCUAGACAUUGGUUCUACUCAAGUCAAGGCAAGUCAUCUGACCUUCACCAAGAAAGUCCAGCAUCCAGGAAAGGAAAUUGUAUGUUUGGAUAUACUGAUCAGCUGUGCUGGCUCUCCACAGUCUCCAUCGUUGUGAGGAUCCAUCUGCUCUCCCUGGGAGAUGAAGCCAAUGCCUCCCAUGCUGGGCUCCCUGGGGAUCAUCUCUCAGUGUGGAGAGCCUGCUCCAGCCCCUGAAGUGGAAAGCUACUACUUAACCAAACACACAGCCUAACAGCUGGGAUUAAAUGACCUGAAAGGUAAAAUCUCUGCCUCCAGCAAACAGAAUUACCAAUUAGGCUUUGUUGUCAAGCCAUGUGUAUGCUGUAAAAACAGGUUAAGCCAUGGUGAGAAUGUGCUAUGCUUACACAGCUGUCUGGGAUUAAUUAGUGAGGGUAUGUCUGGGAUAGCUGCAUGUUUUGAUCAAGCCAAUUCUCUCUAACUCCCACAUGUGUGUGUCUACUUGUAUCCUUGAGUCAUUUCUGAAUAUGUUAAAGAAAAGGAACUACAGACGAAUACAUGUUCUUUUUACUGAUUUGCCUGCUGGAAAUUUCUUCAUGUAAUUUUUUGGAGCAAAGUAUUCUAGCAGUACAAUGAGUAGCCAUUGGAAAGUAAUCCUCUCUACUCCCCCACUCCCCGGGCUAAGACGCUUUUCAUGAAGCAUUUUAGCUCUAAUGGAGACUUCUUAAAGCCAGAUGAAAACUAACCAUCAGUGUGUCAGAAAAGUAACUGGGUUUUAAAAGAAGGGGUUGCGUGAGCUGUCCUCAAGCGUCAAAGUCUCUCCUAAAAUUACCAACAUCAGAGCCCCAGAACCAGGAGUCCUGUCUACAGAGUAAGACCCUGUCUCAAAACCACCACCACAACAACAAAAAUAGCCAUUGGAAUUCACUUAGAAUUAUCCUUACUGAUAAAAUUACAACUAUAAAAGAGAUAAUUAUUUUAAGUACAGAAAAUUAUUCAGAAAAAAAUCUAUUCUAGAAAGCAACUCUGCGUUUAAGUAACUGUUUUGGAUCAUUUCUCCAUUGCCAUAAUUUACACUUAGAUUACACACUGGGGACUAGAAGUGAUCUUGUGGGUGCCCAUAAAAGACUGCCCAUGAACGCAAUUUAUAAUCAUUGAAAGUGUAGACAUGCAGUCAGAAACACAACCAUGAUUACUCAGAAAAAAAAAAAGUUCCUUUCUUGAAACUUUUAAACAUAAAUAUGGAACUUUACAUGCGUGCACAUUAUACAGCAACAUGUUUUAAGAAUAAGCAUGCAUCCUGUGAGUUUGAUUGUACGUAAACUCGGUGAGAAUGUAUUUUUAAAUAAAACAAGAGUUUUGUUCUUAGGAAUUGAUGCUUGGACGUUAGCAUAGGGAACGCAAAACCCAAUUCUGCAAAAUCCCAAGUAUCCCCAGGGCCAGCCUCUGCCAACAGCGUCAGGCAGGGGUAAAGCUUGCUCAGAGACAGUCUUCACACCUCAGGAGUCCAGGCCCCGUUUUAACCAAUUACAGGCAGGCCUUUAUUUUUGCUUGGAUUGAGAUAUUUUGUUUUGUUUCUUACUGAAGUUUUCAUUUGUUUGUUUGUUUUUGCUGCGGGUCAAACUCAGGGCCUUGGAGUUGAGAGGAAGAGAGACUACCUCGGCUUUACAAAUGUCAGCCUCUCUCUACCAUAGGAAGCAUCUUUCCAAGCUUCCUAACUGAAUGUUAUUUACAAUUCUGUUUUGAUUACACACACUUUUUGUAUUUCGGGGAAAAAAAAAAACAACAUUUUCCUGUGCA